UUUUUUUAAUUUUUUAUUCAUACAAACAUUACUAAGGUCGUUCAAAGUUGAAUUGCUGUUUAACGGAUGGCCCAUCUUUUCAACACACCACGCAAAUAUAUGCGGCACUUUGUUCAUAAUGCACUGUCCACUCAACCUUGAUGCUUUCUCAAGUUGAUGCGCAAGAGUCCAAACAGCCUCAGAUCACAUGCUCGGAUCAUGUUCGAGCCUCGGAUUGGACAGUGAAAGAAACACACACGUAUGGGGGGUGAUAAGGGCCAUAAUUAAGCCUCGUGAAGCUACUGAUACGUCUCACAGUCACCUAACGUAUUUUUAGCGCCAUGAAUUAACAUGGACUGUCAAUGGAGACAAGUUUCUUUCUAAGGCGUCUAGACGUGGCACGUGACGUGUUCACGUAGUGAAGUUUAUUAUGAACAAUCUUACAAUUAACUCCUUAACGUCUACAUGUGUUAUGCGUCACGUGUUAGUUUGUGUCUGUUUAGUUUAUUAUUAAAGAUCUCACCAUGAACACCAUACAAACGUCUACAUGUAAUCAAUUUCAUUUGUUGAAUUAGCUAAAAUAGGCCUAUCACCUCAAUACAAAAAUGAUUAAGCUAGUUGAUAUCUCAGCCAGCCACAAUUACUCUGUAGACAUGCUUAUUCUCACAUCAAUACAGACACAAGGGCUUCUUUGUUGGAGGUAUCCCUAUUCAGAAAUAAGAGGUCAUCUAGGUCUCUAGUGGCGCAUUCAAAACAACUUAGAAAGUCGGUAAUCCCUAUAUGUUACCAAUUGGGCUAAAUGUAUUCCUAUUAAUAAGCUUUUGUUUUCCUAUUCAUUUGCAUAGGCUAACCAUUGCAAAUGUUAUUUACCAUUUUUUUUAUUAAUAAACAGGUAUCAGGGUAAAAAAAUUAUAAUUUCAAUGCCCCUCUCCCCCCACGGUUACUUACCUUACAGAUAAAAGUCAGCUAAUUUUCACUCCAUAUGUAAAUACAUUUGAUUCAUACACUGGCUUGUCUGGCUGGCAUGUUUUCAUUUUGAACAGGCCUUUCCUUAUCUACACUGAAAUAAUAUUUCAGUAGUAGUCCUUUAUUAUGAUUUUUUAACACUCAUAGCUCAUUAGUACACCCUUGUGGUUGAAUAUAUAUCUAUUGCAUUUGAUACAACAAUUAAUAAUGUUUAACUAACAAAUACCAUCAAGGGAUACGUUACAAUUUACAAUACUGAACACCUUAUAAAACAGCUGUGAAAACCAAUCUGGCAAUAUUUUAGAUUUAAUACAUAAACGUUGAUAUUUUUGGGGGUACAAGUGUGUCAAUUUACUUUCUGAUUUUUUGUACACUCACAUGGCAAUCAGACUAAAAUACUGAAUUCUGUAGUGUAGAACAGAGAGGAGGCGGGUGCUGUGUGGAUGAGAGGUUCUGCCUGUCACUUGUUUUCAACAGGUAGUCUUGGAAGGUGGACCUGAAGAGGGAAACUGCAAAGUCCAGGCGCUGCUGCCCUCUUUGUUCUGAGUAUUUUCAGGGCUAGUGUUUUUAGCUAAUCUGUGCAGCUCACAUUAUGUACCCAGUAUGAUAGUUUUCUUGCUCUUUCUUAGCUUGUCAGAUGUUUUAUGUCAGUGGGGUUGAUAAGGGAGGUAAGGUAUGUUCCCUGGAAAAGAUGGAGAGAUGAAUGGUGAGAGAAACUCCAGGCUGGCGUUUUGACCACUGAAAUCAUGCACCUUAACACGACCUACCUGGAAGCGGCGGUUAUUUAACGUGACCCAGUGGGUUAGCCAUGAGAUUGACUAUUUGGAGAAACCCAUGGGCCAGUGUUGGUACUGCUGACAGCAUCACGAGGCGGCAAAUUAAAAUAGUUAUCAUCUGAGAUUUUUAUUCACCUUAACAGAUGGUGACCCCAGCUAGGAGCGAAAGAGCACCAAGCUUUCCCAGGUCUUGCCUUCCUUUCGUCCUUCUUCCAAGCCAAGUCAUUCGCCCGGAUGUCGAAGCACUUGGUCCACUUGAUUCUCCUCCGGUGAAUUGAUUCUCCUCCUUCUGUUUCUCCUGCGCCUUGUCCGUGUUCAGUCUCACCUUGAUUGAUAAUAUAAAUAACUGGUCAAAAACCUUCACAUCCUUCUCAGUCCGUGCCUGAAGGUGGUCCUUGAAGGCAUUCUGAUCUGGUUCGACAACUUCCACCACAUCAGGUGGAUUAUCAGUGAUCUCAAAGUACGUUAUACAAAAAUAGCAAUAGAAAAACACUAAGUCAAUCACAAAUUGUAUAUGCUACAGUAUAGGCAAUCAUUUUAUAUACAAUUGCAUUGUUUACCUCCGUAAACAGCUGCAGGGCCCAUUAGUACAGCAGGCGAUAGGGUGAGUACUCUAGAGGCCUGGACGCUGCUGUUGUAGGCAAAGAUCAUUAACUUCAGAUUGUCCUCCCACCAUUCCUGGUACCCGUCAAGGGACUUGCCCAUGGCAGUCACCUUGGUCCGAUCAUCCAAACUUGGAAUCACCAUACAUUUACACAUUCACAUUGUAUAUUUAGCCCAAACAACUACCUCUUCCCCUACUGUAUUUAUUUAUUCUGCUCCUUUGCAGCCCAUUAUUUCUAUUUCUACUUUGCACUUUCUUCCACUGCAAAUCUACCAUUCCAGUGUUUUACUUGCUAUAUUGUAUGUACUUCGCCACCAUGGCCUUUUUUUGCCUUUACCUCCCUUAUCUCACCUCAUUUGCUCACAUUGUAUAGAGUUAUUUUUCUACUGUAUUAUUGACUGUAUGUUUGUUUUACUCCAUGUGUAACUCUGUGUUGUUAUGUCGAACUGCUUUUCUUUAUCUUGGCCAGGUCGCAAUUGUAAAUGAGAACUUCUUCUCAACUUGCCUACCUGGUUAAAUAAAGGUGAAAUAAAUAAAAAUAAAGUAUAUAAC
RNAcentral lists this long non-coding RNA (2877 nucleotides) under Salmo salar (Atlantic salmon). RNAcentral's name for it is "lncRNA (ENSSSAG00000107805.1)". Lineage: Eukaryota; Metazoa; Chordata; Actinopteri; Salmoniformes; Salmonidae. The record is from RNAcentral.